RNAcentral lists this long non-coding RNA (237 nucleotides) under Rattus norvegicus (Norway rat). Its description in RNAcentral is "long non-coding RNA NONRATT007755". Lineage: Eukaryota; Metazoa; Chordata; Mammalia; Rodentia; Muridae. The record is from RNAcentral.
AGGACUGUGAGAAAAGAUGAGAGAAGCCAGGACUACAGCAACCUUCCUGGGUGUCUGUCACCGACUUAUCCCUCUAGGCUGAGGAGAUAGUGGGCACUUAAGAGAACGUUUCAGAGGAAGACAUUCUGUUUCCUGACCGCCAUUACUUAAGCAGCUUUGCUUUAUAUGAUGAGCCCAGACAUCACAGGAAGAGCCUACUAUGGACUGAAACCAUGCGCACAACAAAAUCUUCCUUCU